GACGAACGCUGGCGGUGUGCUUAACACAUGCAAGUCGAACGGUGAAGCGCCUUCCUUUUCGGUGGGUGAGGAUGAGUGGCGAACGGGUGCGUAACACGUGAGUACACUGCCCCCUUCUUCCGGAUAACCGCAUGAAAGUGUGGCUAAUACGGGAUAUUACGGGUCUGUCGCAUGAUGGGUCAGGGAAAGAUAUUGUUUCGGAGGGGGAUGGGCACGCGGCCUAUCAGCAUGUUGCCGGGGUGAGGGCCUACCGAGGCGAUGGCGGGUAGCAGGCCCGGGAGGGGUGAGGGGCCGACUGGGGCUGAGACACGGCCCCGUCGCCUACGGGACACAGCAGAGGGUCAUAUUGCACACUGGGCGCGAGCAUGAUGCAGCGUCGCCGCGUGAGUGAUGGAGGCCUGCGGGUUGUGAGCCUCAUUCGCCAGGUAAGCAGGCCUGCCUCGUUUGUGAAGGUGUUGACGGUACCUGAAUAAGAAGCGCCGGCUAACUACGUG
Molecule: ribosomal RNA, 494 nt
Filed under: uncultured bacterium
Lineage: Bacteria
Description: partial 16S ribosomal RNA
Rfam family: Bacterial small subunit ribosomal RNA
Source: RNAcentral